Haliotis rubra (blacklip abalone) is the source of this 684-nucleotide RNA transcript. It is a transcript of the gene named BTB and MATH domain-containing protein 38-like, with no coding region annotated. The transcript is spliced from 2 exons. NCBI's taxonomy places the organism in Eukaryota, Metazoa, Mollusca, Gastropoda, Lepetellida, Haliotidae. The record is from RefSeq and is a predicted model, not a curated record.
UAAAAAAACUAUGAUAUGGCUCAUUUAUUGAUCUUCUGUUUUUGCAGUUCAUCUGUGUUUGACGAACCGUCUGGCAAGACUGAUGUUGCUCUGGUUGUGGAAGGAAGACGUCUUCACGUCAGCAAAAUGGUGCUUGCAGCAGCGUCGGAUGUUUUUGACAAGAUGUUCAAUGGGAAUUUUAAAGAACAACAGAAACCAGAAGUCCCUCUCCCAGGAAAAAGGUAUGCUGACAUUGUGGACAUGCUUCUGUGUAUUUACCCAUCAGAACUACGGCCUGUCACCAAGGCAACAGUGGACAAGAUGCUGGAACUAGCUGACGAGUACCAGAUUGAGAGUCUAAAGCGGAAGUGUGAAGAUUUUAUGCUCUCGAUCUGUGGAAAUGACAAAACGCCGAAAGGAGAUGUUACACAUGCUUUAUAUCUGGCUGAUAAGUACAGCCUGCCUAACCUCCUGGAAGUAACUAUACACAUUGUGAAAAAAUAUCGGUUUAGAGAUUCAAGGGAUAUAGACUAUGACUUGGAUGGAUAUAGAACCGUGGGCUGGAGCAGGAACAAGACUUCGUGAACCUUGGGAAUGAAACAAAGCUGAAACUUAUGGCAGAAAUGAUUGUCUAUUUAGACAAAAAAUCAGCGAUGUAUCAGUAUAUAAUGUUUAACAUCGACUCAAAACUGAAAAGAUACUCUC